This 714-nucleotide ribosomal RNA is filed under the name uncultured Bacteroidales bacterium. Its description in RNAcentral is "bacterial SSU rRNA". It matches the Rfam family "Bacterial small subunit ribosomal RNA", at positions 65 to 773 of the family's 1533-position model. Lineage: Bacteria; Pseudomonadati; Bacteroidota; Bacteroidia; Bacteroidales. The record is from RNAcentral.
AGGGGCAUCACGAGGUAGCAAUACUUUGGUGGCGACCGGCGCACGGGUGCGUAACGCGUAUGUAACCUACCUAUAACAGGGGCAUAACACUGAGAAAUUGGUACUAAUUCCCCAUAAUAUUCGGAGAGGCAUCUCUCCGGGUUGAAAACUCCGGUGGUUAUAGAUGGACAUGCGUUGUAUUAGCUAGUUGGUGAGGUAACGGCUCACCAAGGCAACGAUACAUAGGGGGACUGAGAGGUUAACCCCCCACACUGGUACUGAGACACGGACCAGACUCCUACGGGAGGCAGCAGUGAGGAAUAUUGGUCAAUGGACGCAAGUCUGAACCAGCCAUGCCGCGUGCAGGAAGACGGCUCUAUGAGUUGUAAACUGCUUUUGUACGAGGGUAAACUCACCUACGUGUAGGUGACUGAAAGUAUCGUACGAAUAAGGAUCGGCUAACUCCGUGCCAGCAGCCGCGGUAAUACAGAGGAUUCAAGCGUUAUCCGGAUUUAUUGGGUUUAAAGGGUGCGUAGGCGGUUUGAUAAGUUAGAGGUGAAAUCCCGGGGCUUAACUCCGGAACUGCCUCUAAUACUGUUAGACUAGAGAGUAGUUGCGGUAGGCGGAAUGUAUGGUGUAGCGGUGAAAUGCUUAGAGAUCAUACAGAACACCGAUUGCGAAGGCAGCUUACCAAACUAUAUCUGACGUUGAGGCACGAAAGCGUGGGGAGCAAAC